CGACAGCGACCACAGGUCAGGCGGGAUU
This 28-nucleotide ribosomal RNA is filed under the name Forsythia saxatilis. RNAcentral describes it as "partial 28S ribosomal RNA". Lineage: Eukaryota; Viridiplantae; Streptophyta; Magnoliopsida; Lamiales; Oleaceae. The record is from RNAcentral.